RNAcentral lists this ribosomal RNA (839 nucleotides) under uncultured bacterium. RNAcentral's name for it is "bacterial SSU rRNA". It matches the Rfam family "Bacterial small subunit ribosomal RNA", at positions 56 to 902 of the family's 1533-position model. The record is from RNAcentral.
UGCAGUCGAGGGGUAUGCUUCUUCGGGAGCAGAGACCGGCGCACGGGUGCGUAACGCGUAUGCAAUCUACCUUUUACAGAGGGAUAGCCCAGAGAAAUUUGGAUUAAUACCUCAUAGUAUAGUACAAUCGCAUGAUUGAACUAUUAAAGUCACAACGGUAAAAGAUGAGCAUGCGUCCCAUUAGCUAGUUGGUAAGGUGACGGCUUACCAAGGCUACGAUGGGUAGGGGUCCUGAGAGGGAGAUCCCCCACACUGGUACUGAGACACGGACCAGACUCCUACGGGAGGCAGCAGUGAGGAAUAUUGGACAAUGGGCGCAAGCCUGAUCCAGCCAUGCCGCGUGCAGGAUGACGGUCCUAUGGAUUGUAAACUGCUUUUAUACGAGAAGAAACACUCCUUCGUGAAGGAGCUUGGCGGUAUCGUAAGAAUAAGGAUCGGCUAACUCCGUGCCAGCAGCCGCGGUAAUACGGAGGAUCCAAGCGUUAUCCGGAAUCAUUGGGUUUAAAGGGUCCGUAGGCGGUUUAAUAAGUCAGUGGUGAAAGCCCAUCGCUCAACGGUGGAACGGCCAUUGAUACUGUUAGACUUGAAUUAUUAGGAAGUAACUAGAAUAUGUAGUGUAGCGGUGAAAUGCUUAGAGAUUACAUGGAAUACCAAUUGCGAAGGCAGGUUACUACUAAUUGAUUGACGCUGAUGGACGAAAGCGUGGGUAGCGAACAGGAUUAGAUACCCUGGUAGUCCACGCCGUAAACGAUGGAUACUAGCUGUUGGGAGCAAUUUCAGUGGCUAAGCGAAAGUGAUAAGUAUCCCACCUGGGGAGUACGUUCGCAAGAAUGAAACUC